CCUACGGGGGGCAGCAGUGAGGAAUAUUGGUCAAUGGACGAGAGUCUGAACCAGCCAAGUAGCGUGAAGGAUGACUGCCCUAUGGGUUGUAAACUUCUUUUAUAUGGGAAUAAAACGUUCCACGUGUGGGAUUUUGUAUGUACCAUAUGAAUAAGGAUCGGCUAACUCCGUGCCAGCAGCCGCGGUAAUACGGAGGAUCCGAGCGUUAUCCGGAUUUAUUGGGUUUAAAGGGAGCGUAGGGGGAUUGUUAAGUCAGUUGUGAAAGUUUGCGGCGCAACCGUAAAAUUGCAGUUGAAACUGGCAGUCUUGAGUACAGUAGAGGUGGGCGGAAUUCGUGGUGUAGCGGUGAAAUGCUUAGAUAUCACGAAGAACUCCGAUUGCGAAGGCAGUUCACUGGACUGCAACUGACACUGAGGCUCGAAAGUGUGGGUAUCAAACAGGAUUAGAUACCCGUGUAGUC
Molecule: ribosomal RNA, 460 nt
Filed under: uncultured bacterium
Lineage: Bacteria
Description: partial 16S ribosomal RNA
Rfam family: Bacterial small subunit ribosomal RNA
Source: RNAcentral